RNAcentral lists this unclassified non-coding RNA (232 nucleotides) under plant metagenome. Its description in RNAcentral is "partial contains small subunit ribosomal RNA, internal transcribed spacer 1, and 5.8S ribosomal RNA". The record is from RNAcentral.
UUUCCGUAGGUGAACCUGCGGAAGGAUCAUUAAAGUUAUAGUCCCCCGGCCCUCUGGGCUGGGGUCUUCUAUACCACCCUUGUUUAUUACACCUUUGUUGCUUUGGCAGGCCUGCCCUCGGGCUGCUGGCUCCGGCCGGCUCGUGUCUGCCAGAGGACCUAAACUCUGUUUGUAUAUGAAGUCUGAGUACUAUAUAUAGUUAAAACUUUCAACAACGGAUCUCUUGGUUCUG